AAAUGCACAGGCUGUGAACUCGAUGAGUAGGGCGGGACACGUGACAUCCUGUCUGAAUAUGGGGGGACCAUCCUCCAAGGCUAAAUACUCCUGACUGACCGAUAGUGAACCAGUACCGUGAGGGAAAGGCGAAAAGAACCCCGGCGAGGGGAGUGAAAUAGAACCUGAAACCGUGUACGUACAAGCAGUGGGAGCACCUUCGUGGUGUGACUGCGUACCUUUUGUAUAAUGGGUCAGCGACUUAUAUUUUGUAGCAAGGUUAACCGAAUAGGGGAGCCGUAGGGAAACCGAGUCUUAACUGGGCGUCUAGUUGCAAGGUAUAGACCCGAAACCCGGUGAUCUAGCCAUGGGCAGGUUGAAGGUUGGGUAACACUAACUGGAGGACCGAACCGACUAAUGUUGAAAAAUUAGCGGAUGACUUGUGGCUGGGGGUGAAAGGCCAAUCAAACCGGGAGAUAGCUGGUUCUCCCCGAAAGCUAUUUAGGUAGCGCCUCGUGAACUCAUCUUCGGGGGUAGAGCACUGUUUCGGCUAGGGGGCCAUCCCGGCUUACCAAACCGAUGCAAACUCCGAAUACCGAAGAAUGUUAUCACGGGAGACACACGGCGGGUGCUAACGUCCGUCGUGAAGAGGGAAACAACCCAGACCGCCAGCUAAGGUCCCAAAGUCAUGGUUAAGUGGGAAACGAUGUGGGAAGGCACAGACAGCCAGGAUGUUGGCUUAGAAGCAGCCAUCAUUUAAAGAAAGCGUAAUAGCUCACUGGUCGAGUCGGCCUGCGCGGAAGAUGUAACGGGGCUAAACCAUGCACCGAAGCUGCGGCAGCGACGUUUAGGCGUUGUUGGGUAGGGGAGCGUUCUGUAAGCCGUUGAAGGUGACCUGUG
This 879-nucleotide ribosomal RNA is filed under the name Yersinia pestis. Its description in RNAcentral is "partial 23S ribosomal RNA". It matches the Rfam family "Bacterial large subunit ribosomal RNA", at positions 383 to 1265 of the family's 2925-position model. The record is from RNAcentral. Lineage: Bacteria; Pseudomonadati; Pseudomonadota; Gammaproteobacteria; Enterobacterales; Yersiniaceae.